GACGAACGCUGGCGGCAUGCCUAACACAUGCAAGUCGAACGAAACCUUCGGGUCUAGUUGCGCACGGGUGCGUAACACGGGGGAACCUGCACGUGGGUUCGGAAUAACUCCCCGAGAGGGGUGCUAAUACCGGAUAGUCUCUUCGGACAAAAGAGUUAUUGCCUUUGGAUGGGCCCGCGUUGGAUUCGGGAGUUGGUAGGGUAAAAGCAUACCAAGGCGACGAUCCAGAGCUGGUCUGAGAGGAUGAUCAGCUACACUGGGACUGAGACACGGCCCAGACUCCUACGGGAGGGAGCAGUGGGGAAUAUUGGACAAUGGGCGAAAGCCUGAUACAGCAAUGCGGCGGGAGUGAUGAAGGCCUUAGGGUUGUAAAGCUCUUUUAGCCGGGAUGAUAAUGACAGUACCGGGAGAAUAAGCUCCGGCUAACUCCGUG
RNAcentral lists this ribosomal RNA (433 nucleotides) under uncultured bacterium. RNAcentral's name for it is "partial 16S ribosomal RNA". It matches the Rfam family "Bacterial small subunit ribosomal RNA", at positions 28 to 507 of the family's 1533-position model. The record is from RNAcentral.